Molecule: long non-coding RNA, 1171 nt
Organism: Populus euphratica (Euphrates poplar)
Lineage: Eukaryota; Viridiplantae; Streptophyta; Magnoliopsida; Malpighiales; Salicaceae
Exons: 2
Source: RefSeq, a predicted model, not a curated record
AAACCUACCUCGAGCCAGGUUUCAAGUUGGUAUAUCACCAGGUCAAGCUGGACUUUAUAACACUAUCAAAUGAAAACAUGUUAUACUGACAACCCACUAAAGGAACUAAAACAAUUCUACUUGGAUAGAGCCUUUUGGUUCAUGGAACGAUCAAAUUAGCUUCAUCUUGUACAUCAACACAGAUUUUGAAUAGAGUUGGAAUUAAAAGCAAGUGCAGAUUGGGAUUCUUCAUUCCCCAUGACACAAUAAACCCUCUUGAUGAACAAUAUGUCAAGCCAAGUUGAUUUUCUCCCUCCCCUGCAUUUUUUUUUCCUUUCAUUUGGAUUCUAAGUUCUAAUCCAUUGGAAAUGCAAAACGCACAUAUUAAUAUAUUCUAUUUGCUGACACAGUAUUAUAUAUAUAUAUAAAGAGAACAUGGGAAACAACUCACAAUCAAGUAUCUUCCGAUCUUCACUCGCCAAUUUCUAGCAGCAGGAAGUUCAACCAUCCAAUAUAUCUCAAGAAAAGUUGAUAUAGUUCACAAUUUCUGAAUCGCCAAAGCUUCAAAAUUUCUACUAGCAGGGUUUCCCUGAUUUUAGGUUCUUGGUCACUCUGUAAUGCUGCUCAAUGUGAAGACUAGAUCAAGCAGCGAUGUGAAAUCUUUGUAUGCAGCGAACUGCAUAAUUACAAAAAGUUCAUGACAAGCGGCAGUGCCAAUUAUAUUUGCAAUUCCAGAAGAAUCAACCAACGAGAAUAAACAAUGCACUAGAAAAUUCAAAACAACUUCCUAACUAAAGAGAUAGUGCCUCAAUAAUGGAUAUCAAAGCCAAAGAAAAGUAACCCAAUCAAUGAAAUAACAAUCUUCAGAAGUGUUGGGAGAAAUUUCUAACAGAUGCUUGGAUAAAUUUGCUUCAUCCUAUCCUUUUCACAAUAAAACAUCAAGAUUUUGUAGAUGAUAGGCUUCUAAACACAAAUGGUAAAACACCACAUACCUACAAGUCCUCAUUAGCAUUCACAAUCGAGAAACUUUAGCUUGUCUUUCAAAAUGAUAACUCAUUUCAUGGGUCAGGCUAGCUCACUAGCAUAGAGAACAGUUGUUAUAUCAGUUCACAUAUCACAACUUUUCCUCUGUAAACCUGUACAAACUCCUCAAACAAGCAACAAAACCAGUUCCUUUAGUUUGCAUUGGUUG